CCUGAAGCCGGAUGGCACCCUCCGUUGUUGCAACGACUUCAUCCAUAACUUCUCCUCCUUAGCCUCUCCCCUGACAGACCUGACCAGGAAGGGGCAGCCGGAGAAAACUUCCUCGGGACCGACCGAAGACGAGGCAUUCCGGCGAGUGAAGGUGGCCCUCACCUCCGAGCCGGUCCUACGAGCCCUGGACUUGAACCACCUCUUUCUGUUGCAGACAGAUGCCUCCAACACCUGGUUGGGAGCCGUCCUCUCCCAGGUACAGGAUGGUGAGGAACACCCGGUAAUCUACAUCAGCCGAAAGCUGUCCCCCGCGGAGCAACGGUACGCCACCAUCGAAAGGGAAGCGUUGGCCAUCAAGUGGGCAGUCCUGGAUCUCAGGUACUAUCUUUUGGGCCGAAAGUUUACGCUUGUCACUGACCAUGCUCCCUUGCAGUGGAUGGCCCGGACCAAGGACACAAAUGCAAGGGUGACUCGCUGGUUCCUGGCGCUCCAGGACUUCCACUUCAUGGUGCGACAUCAGGCGGGGACGGCCAACGAGGAUGGGCUCUCACGAAUUUGGGCAGCUUUCGCAGGUCUGUCAGGGUUCACCCCCCUCCCAACCCCCACCUCCCCGUUGUCCCGCAGGACCAAGACAACGCUUGGGGGCGGGGAGUGUGGCGCGUGUCCCGAGCACUCAUCAGCGUCGCCCUGGAAAUGAAGGAGGAACACCUGUGCACACUCAGGACGGGCUGGCCGGCCACAGCUGAAGCUCAUCAGAGCCCUGCUACAAAAGCCGCUGCAUGACACACACUGGUGAGAUGUCUCCUGAAGACUCCACGCUAAUGCCUACUUUGUACUUGAGCUCGUGAGCUCGACAUGGACACCCAGCACAUGAGGACACGGAGGAAAGACUGAGGUGGAUCACGGAGCACCAAUGCACGUCACCACACACAUCGGCACCUCACCUGUCAAUAAACUCACCCUCCGGGGCAUUUAGUGAAAUCCUCUUGUUGUGUGAUUCCUCACCCCGUUACU
Long non-coding RNA from Cyprinus carpio (common carp), 1014 nucleotides. The record is from Ensembl. NCBI's taxonomy places the organism in Eukaryota, Metazoa, Chordata, Actinopteri, Cypriniformes, Cyprinidae.